ACGAAGGGGGCUAGCGUUGUUCGGAAUUACUGGGCGUAAAGCGCACGUAGGCGGAUUGCUAAGUCAGGGGUGAAAUCCCGGGGCUCAACCUCGGAACUGCCUUUGAUACUGACAGUCUUGAGUCCGGAAGAGGUGAGUGGAAUUCCUAGUGUAGAGGUGAAACUCGUGGAUAUGAGGAAGAGCACCAGUGGCGAGGGCGGCACACUGGUCCAGUACUGACGGUGAGGUGCGAAAGCGUGGGGAUCAAACAG
RNAcentral lists this ribosomal RNA (251 nucleotides) under uncultured prokaryote. Its description in RNAcentral is "partial 16S rRNA". It matches the Rfam family "Bacterial small subunit ribosomal RNA", at positions 525 to 775 of the family's 1533-position model. The record is from RNAcentral.